This is a long non-coding RNA of Manis pentadactyla (Chinese pangolin), 1243 nucleotides long. RefSeq lists it as uncharacterized. The record is from RefSeq and is a predicted model, not a curated record. The transcript has 2 exons. NCBI's taxonomy places the organism in Eukaryota, Metazoa, Chordata, Mammalia, Pholidota, Manidae.
GCGCGAGCGAAGAAGAGAUCCCUGCCCAGCUGUGGAAGAAGCCCCGAGAGCUGCAGGGGAGGAGCUAAAGGGCCGGAGCUGUCGAACCCUUGGCUAAGGAGGGCCUGCGGGGUGGAGUGUGAGCUACGAUGAGAAGAGAGCUUAGAGAUCUAACCCUGGGUGAAGCUGAUAUUGUACCCUGCUAUUCCAGAGAACAAUAACCAGGAUCACAUAGAUAAGAAAUGUUUAAACCGUGGUUCUUAAUCUCUCUACAACCUUUUGGAAAAUCUCAUAGAAAUCUUAGGUCCUUUCCUUUAAAAAUGUGUGUAAAAGAUUUACAUUUAAAAAUUCUCCACGCUUUCAAAGUGUUAAGAAAGACAUUUUGAAAAUCAUCCAUAAAUCGUACCUUUGAAAGGAUUUGGGGACAGGAGAAAGGAACUCAGAGGAAAACAUGUCAGCCAUCUUCAAAUGUCUAAAGGACUGAUUUGAACAAAACGUGAUACGGUUUGUGUGGUUCUAAACGCCUGAACUAAGAUCAAGACUGCUCCAGAUUGGUUUCUGAUCGCUCUUAAAAUACUUUUCAAACCUCUUGUCAUUGCCUACAAAGCCUACAUGUGGCUCCUAUUUACAUUCUAAACCUUUUGUCACCAUUUUCAACCUUGACUCAUCACUUUCCAGUCACACUGGUCUUUUAUUCCUAGAAAACACCACCAGCCUCUUCCCUGAGUCAAGGGCUUUGCUCUUCCCUCAGCCUAGAACUCACUCUUCUAGCGGUUCUCUUUGCCAGUUACAAACGUCACCAUCUGCAAGAGGCCUUCUCUGAUCACACUAAGUAGUUCCCACCUAUAUAUCUACCAUAAACCUUGUUUAUUGCCUUGCUACCAUAAAUCGUGGCCUGUUUUUAGUUGUUGGUCUUCCUUCCCCCAUCAGAAUGUAAACUCCAAGAGCUCAGCAAUCUCAUGUUUGUUUUAGUUCAUAAUUUAAUCCCCCGGGACCUGCAAGUACUUGGCACACAGUAGGAGCUCAGUAAGAAUUUUUUAAGUUAUGAAAAGUUGGAAUAAACUUCCAGAAAGGCUACCUGAUCAUAGUUAUGCCAGGAAACGGGCAAUCUUCAGAGAGUGCAAGUAAAAACUGCUUUCACUCACUCGGGACGUCAGGGAGCGUUAAUUUGUUGGGCUUGAUGACCUGCAAGGACGCCUUCAACUUCAGUCUCUGAUUUGACUGCAGAGGUAAACAUGCCCUAGAUACAUGGCAGCCGGGCUGG